UGGGGAAUAUUGCACAAUGGGCGCAAGCCUGAUGCAGCCAUGCCGCGUGUGUGAAGAAGGCCUUCGGGUUGUAAAGCACUUUCAGCGAGGAGGAAGGGUUCAGUGUUAAUAGCACUGUUCAUUGACGUUACUCGCAGAAGAAGCACCGGCUAACUCCGUGCCAGCAGCCGCGGUAAUACGGAGGGUGCAAGCGUUAAUCGGAAUUACUGGGCGUAAAGCGCACGCAGGCGGUUUGUUAAGUCAGAUGUGAAAUCCCCGCGCUUAACGUGGGAACUGCAUU
RNAcentral lists this ribosomal RNA (280 nucleotides) under uncultured bacterium. Its description in RNAcentral is "partial 16S ribosomal RNA". It matches the Rfam family "Bacterial small subunit ribosomal RNA", at positions 355 to 627 of the family's 1533-position model. The record is from RNAcentral.